Molecule: ribosomal RNA, 443 nt
Filed under: uncultured bacterium
Lineage: Bacteria
Description: partial 16S ribosomal RNA
Rfam family: Bacterial small subunit ribosomal RNA
Source: RNAcentral
CCUACGGGUGGCAGCAGUGGGGAAUAUUGGGCAAUGGGCGCAAGCCUGACCCAGCAACGCCGCGUGAAGGAAGAAGGCUUUCGGGUUGUAAACUUCUUUUCUCAGGGACGAAGCAAGUGACGGUACCUGAGGAAUAAGCCACGGCUAACUACGUGCCAGCAGCCGCGGUAAGACGUAGGUGGCAAGCGUUAUCCGGAUGUACUGGGUGUAAAGGGAGUGUAGGCGGGGACGCAAGUCAGAAGUGAAAACCACGGGCUCAACCUGUGGCCUGCAUUUGACACUGUGUGUCUGGAGUACAGGAGAGGCAGAUGGAAUUCCUAGUGUAGCGGUGAAAUGCGGAGAUAUUAGGAGGAACACCAGUGGCGAAGGCGGUCUACUGGACAGCAACUGACGGUGAGGCGCGAAAGCGUGGGGAGCAAACAGGAUUAGAUACCCCGGUAGUC